Molecule: long non-coding RNA, 321 nt
Filed under: Pelobates cultripes (western spadefoot toad)
Lineage: Eukaryota; Metazoa; Chordata; Amphibia; Anura; Pelobatidae
Source: RNAcentral
GUAGAUACUUCAGGGAGAAGGGGCGUAGGAGGGUUAGGUGUAGUUGCGGGAACGGUUCUAGCUAGGAGCGUCUGGAGAGCCUGAGCUAUUUGAUCCAUACGAUGAUCCUGCUCUACAAAUCUUGCCUCAUGGGACGCCAUCUGUUGAGCUAAAUCUGCGGGGUCCAUGGCCCUAUCGUAAUGUAACGAGAAUAUACCCCUACACGCAGGAUCCAGCUAAACAGAGGCAAAUACAGAGGAGAGAUACGUCUACCGGACCUUAGAAUGGCCGGACUUGACGUAUAUGAGAGAAGACAGAGCCAGGAACAAACCGAGGUCAAGG